UAGACACACCCCCCUCCAUUUACCCUCGCCUUUUGCCCUUGGGGGAAUCCCCGAGGCCGUCUUUGCUGUCCAAACAAUUAGCAAAGCAAGGUAAAUUAGCAACGUAAGACCCUUAGCCCUCGUUUGUGAUCAUACAACUCCAUUCCCUCUGGACGCUGAAACGCCCCAUAAUUCAAUUCGCGAUGAUUUCUUAACGGAUGUACAAAGUCAGCCAAAAUGUAAAACCAACAUCAAUAUGGAGAAGUCAACAUACAGGUAUUCCCAGUAAAACCGCUGUCUCGUGAGCCACAAUGUGCGCUGCUGACCCUGAUGGCCAGCAUCAUCAUGAACUUCCUUCAACACAAGGCCUCUCAAAGACACAGUUCCUUCUGUGAUUUCAGUUGCUGUGGAGACUUCCCGUGGUUGCUGAGGGGCAGGAGAGCAUCUUGGCCACAUGCACAGCGGCUACCGCCAAGCCCCCCGCUGAGGUACAAUGGAGCACGGCUAGUGCAAGACAACCACUGAGUCUGACAACCUCAACCAACACUACACUGAACCCAGACGACACCGCCACGGUGAGGGUCCACCUGAAGGGAGAGCCCUCCAGAGUCAUACAGCAACAGGAGGUUCAGUGCCUGGUGAACCACACCACUCUGAGCCAGCAGAAAGCUGACCCCUACCAGCUAGAUGUACACUGCUUUACACAUGCUUCCCACCCCUUGGCUGCAACCCUUCUAAUUUAGUGUACCCUGCGAGCACAACCCAUGUGGAUUUCCUGGUCUCUUGCAAUGUUUGGUUGGAACUGCUGAUCUGCAGUCAAGAACGCAGAGUUCAUCUCACUCUAUGCUGCCCUUCAGUCCCUAGACUUUCUGCCCCCAGACGGAGACAUGGAUCACCCAGCUGCUCUCUUUUCAUUUGACUACUUUAUUGAGAAAAAAAUGUGCUACCGUGACUGAGAUAUGUGGUUGUCCACUUAGCUUUCUUAAGAUGAAUGCACUAACUGUUAUUUGAUCUGGAUAAGAGCGUCUGCUAAAUGACUAAAAUGUAAAUGUAAUACUGUAGGUAUAAACACACAUUUGAUAUAAAACAAAUAUCAGCAGAGAAGAAUAAUUCAAAUCCAACAUUUUCUCUAUUUCUGUUCAUUUGUAAAAAGAAUUCUGGCAUAGUUGUGCACAUGCAAGAUCCCUUUGGAGAUGUUUGGUUCUAUGCACUGUAAUUAUCAUCAAUUAUGCCCUCUAAACUUGGAAGAACACAUAAUGCCUUCCAGUCCAGGGGAGGGGGCGAGUAAUUCUUAUUAUCGUCUUGUCAGAGCGAGGCGAAAUGCUUACAUUGUGGCGCGUGUCAGACACCACUUUAGGAGCAAGGGGGCCAUGGGAGAAUAAAAAGGAAUCUCUGUACUUGCCCUGAGUGACAGCGCUGCAUUAAUGUGACAGGUCAUCGUGCUGGCCGGGCCCGCCCCACAGUCCAAGAGUCCUGCAACAAGGUGCCUUUCAUUGGUGGUGCCACCGUAAUGAGUGACUGACUGACUACUGCCACAAUUAUGAGCUCAAGGCUGGAAGUUCUGGGGCAAAUCAAAAGAAAGUUACACUCUCAGUAGGUAUGACUCACGGCGAGUGAUACAAAGUCAUUGUAUUUUUGACCUGUUUGAAUGGGAAAGCCUGUACUGUUGACUAGUGCUAAUGAGCAUCUGGUACUGCACUGUAAUUUGUUGGGAUUAUUUGGCAAAUACUGUACAUCUGAUGUUUGUUCACCCCUUAGAGAUAAGAAAAGGGUAGUCUCAAAGACGAUUUCCAAAAACAUUUGUCUGCAUAGCUCUGAUAAUGCAUUUUUCUUACAAACGCUGUGGGAACUUCGUGUAAACAUCCCUCAAAAUAGGACUGAGGAGACAAACAACACACAUUUAUUUGUUCUCAUUUGUCAAGGAUGGCUGACUCCUGGGGUGAGAUGCAUCUGACUUUUAUAGAGCCUGGAAAACAGUCUAUUCCUGUCUUGAGUAGUCUCUAGCUAAUGAUGGAACUGGCUAAGCCAGGAGUUUGGACUCGGUAGCGAAUCACACUGCUGCAUGUUCUCAUAGGGUAACUUAAGUCUUUUGUACUUCCUGAAGUUGUACCCCUGGGCAGUAAGUUGUUUGUAAUGGUAUAGAGGAUAUGCUAACAGUGAUAUAGUAUUACAAAAAUAUGUGGGUAAACUGAUUCACCAGUUGCAGUGAAAAAGUAACACUACCUAUACUUCCAAAACAUUUUUCCACAAAAGGUUCCACAAAUGAAAGUGGGCAAGCUGCGUUUACCCUCCACUACACCAAGGUAGCAGGAGGUAACGUUGUCGGAGGAGAAGUGCCAAAAAGAGCCAAGUUAAUCAUAGAUAUAUAACACAUAGUUACAGUGGGGCAAAACGUAUUUAGUCAGCCACCAAUUGUGCAAGUUCUCCCACUUAAA
RNA transcript from Oncorhynchus tshawytscha (Chinook salmon), 2414 nucleotides. It is a transcript of the gene named nectin-3-like protein, with no coding region annotated. The record is from RefSeq and is a predicted model, not a curated record. NCBI's taxonomy places the organism in Eukaryota, Metazoa, Chordata, Actinopteri, Salmoniformes, Salmonidae. The transcript has 4 exons.